RNAcentral lists this transfer RNA (72 nucleotides) under Pangasianodon hypophthalmus (striped catfish). It matches the Rfam family "tRNA". From Rfam's summary of the family: Transfer RNA (tRNA) molecules are approximately 80 nucleotides in length. Their secondary structure includes four short double-helical elements and three loops (D, anti-codon, and T loops). Lineage: Eukaryota; Metazoa; Chordata; Actinopteri; Siluriformes; Pangasiidae. The record is from Rfam by way of RNAcentral.
UCCCUGGAGGACUAGUGGUUAGGCCACAGUGCCCUCACUACUGUGACCUGGGUUCAAUUCCCAGCCAGUGCA